This 497-nucleotide ribosomal RNA is filed under the name uncultured bacterium. Its description in RNAcentral is "partial 16S ribosomal RNA". It matches the Rfam family "Bacterial small subunit ribosomal RNA", at positions 28 to 507 of the family's 1533-position model. The record is from RNAcentral.
GAUGAACGCUGGCGGCGUGCCUAAUACAUGCAAGUCGAGCGAACAGACGAGGAGCUUGCUCCUCUGACGUUAACGGCGGACGGGUGAGUAACACGUGGAUAACCUACCUAUAAGACUGGGAUAACUUCGGGAAACCGGAGCUAAUACCGGAUAAUAUAUUGAACCGCAUGGUUCAAUAGUGAAAGACGGUUUUGCUGUCACUUAUAGAUGGAUCCGCGCCGCAUUAGCUAGUUGGUAAGGUAACGGCUUACCAAGGCAAUGAUGCGUAGCCGACCUGAGAGGGUGAUCGGCCACACUGGAACUGAGACACGGUCCAGACUCCUACGGGAGGCAGCAGUAGGGAAUCUUCCGCAAUGGGCGAAAGCCUGACGGAGCAACGCCGCGUGAGUGAUGAAGGUCUUCGGAUCGUAAAACUCUGUUAUUAGGGAAGAACAAAUGUGUAAGUAACUAUGCACGUCUUGACGGUACCUAAUCAGAAAGCCACGGCUAACUACGUG